AAAGUUUGAUCAUGGCUCAGGAUGAACGCUAGCUACAGGCUUAACACAUGCAAGUCGAGGGGCAGCAUGAACUUAGCUUGCUAAGUUUGAUGGCGACCGGCGCACGGGUGAGUAACACGUAUCCAACCUUCCGUUUACUCAGGGAUAGCCUUUCGAAAGAAAGAUUAAUACCUGAUAGUAUGGUGAGAUUGCAUGAUAGCACCAUUAAAGAUUUAUUGGUAAACGAUGGGGAUGCGUUCCAUUAGG
RNAcentral lists this ribosomal RNA (246 nucleotides) under uncultured bacterium. RNAcentral's name for it is "partial 16S ribosomal RNA". It matches the Rfam family "Bacterial small subunit ribosomal RNA", at positions 8 to 245 of the family's 1533-position model. The record is from RNAcentral.